Molecule: RNA transcript, 2076 nt
Organism: Mauremys reevesii (Reeves's turtle)
Lineage: Eukaryota; Metazoa; Chordata; Testudines; Geoemydidae
Gene name: aldo-keto reductase family 1 member B1-like
Exons: 11
Source: RefSeq, a predicted model, not a curated record
GUCUGCCGAACUACGGAUUUAGGCGGGGAACCAUUUUUUAAAAAGACUUUGGUUCCCCUAUUUCAGAAAUAAAGCCAAACCCACCACGUGGAGAGAGGGGAGCAGCUGCCUCGGCCCUUCCCCGCUGCCACGCCGGUAGCAGGCGGGUCCGCCCAGCGCCUGGAGAGAGAGACAGCGAGAGGAGCCUGUUCUGGGUGGGGAAACUCCCGCCAAGCGCCGGGCCGUGCGGACAGCGGGGCGGCUGCAGGCGGGGUCGGGGCAGCACCAGCGGCUCAUGCUGCAAGGAGAGAGCUGCCCCCAGCGCCAGGCGCGUAGCUUCCAGGGCCUCUGGCCCGCGCUCCUUCCCGGGCCCCGCUCUGCUCACAGGCCUCUCGGCUAAUGCCGCUCGCUCCCGGGGGCUGAGGCGUGGCCAGGCCUAUAAAAGAGGCUCGGCUGGAGCAGAGCCCGGGGGCGUGGUCCACAGAGACCGGGAAUUAUGGCGACCUACGUGCAACUGAGCACUAAGGCCAAGAUGCCCAUCCUGGGGCUGGGCACCUGGCAGGCUCCUCCAGGGAAGGUGGAAGAAGCAGUGAAGUUUGCCAUCGACGUUGGAUACCGCCACUUUGACUGUGCCUAUUUGUACAAGAAUGAGAGUGAAAUAGGGGAUGGGAUCCAGCAGAAAAUCAAGGAAGGGGUUGUGAAACGGGAAGAUCUUUUUGUUGUCAGUAAGCUGUGGUGCACGUUUCAUGAGCGAUCCCUUGUGAAGGGGGCAUGCCAGAAAAGCCUUGCUGCACUGAAACUGGAUUACCUGGACCUCUACCUUAUUCAUUUUCCUAUGGGAUUCAAGGCUGGUGAGGAGAUGCAUCCUGUAGAUGACAACGGUAUGAUUGUCCCCAGUAACACUGAUAUUCUGGACACAUGGGAGGCUAUGGAAGAGCUGGUGGAUGCAGGUCUGGUGAAAGCCAUUGGAAUCUCCAACUUUAACCACAAACAGAUUGAGAGACUCUUAACUAAACCUGGUUUAAAAUUCAAGCCUGCCAACAACCAGAUUGAGUGCCACCCAUACCUUACCCAGGAGAAGCUGAUUAAGUAUUGCCAAUCCAAAGGGAUCUCUGUGACCGCAUACAGUCCCCUGGGAUCUCCUGAUAGGCCAUGGGCCAAGCCAGAGGACCCUACUCUUCUAGAGGACCCUAAGAUUAAAGAGAUUGCCGCUAAACACAACAAAACCUCUGCUCAGGUUCUGAUCCGGUUUCACAUCCAGAGGAAUGUGGCAGUCAUUCCCAAGUCUGACAAACCACACCGUAUUGAGGAGAACUUUAAGGUGUUUGACUUUGAAUUGACUAAUGAGGAGAUGGAAACCAUCCUCAGCUUUAACAGGAAUUGGAGGGUCGUUGACAUGGUCAAGUAUUUUUGCUAAGAGAUUCAUUCAACAAUAUCCAAACAAACCACUGAACUUUGACAAUCUUCUCAGCCUGUGAUCAUUUCCUGAAUCAUUUGUCUGCAGCUCCUGUUCCUAGACAGAUUGCCUCAGCACUUCUGUUCAACGACUGUGUUCCAAUCCCCACCAGGACCAAGGAAAGGAUUCUACGAGUGAUGAAAGCCUGGCUUACUAAAUCAGAGGAUGGGGAGACUGGCACUCAGGAGUUCCAUCCCUGUUCUUUACAUUGACCGUCUCUCCACACACGGCUUUGGGUAAACCAUUUAGGUUGGUAUUGCCCAGUGCUGGCCUAGCUCUGCUACCAGGGAAGUCAAUGGUAAAAGUGCCAGUGAUUUCCAUGGGAGUAGAGAGAGGCCAACACUAAGCAAUUGUGAAAAGCCCCAUCUUAAUUUCACUGUAAAAUAAGAAUAAGACCCACGUAAUAGGAGUGAUAUGAAGGUUAGUGUGUAUGUAAUGCAUUUCAUCUGCCAGAGCUUUGCAAACAUUGCAGGUGUUACUCUAAGACGGAUUUCUAAUACUGGACUGAUGAGAGAAGCCCACAGAAAGGACACUAUUUCCCCCCAUUUAAGUCUGUUUUCACAGACCGAUUGUUUUGUUCCCAAUACGGAUCACAGAUUUAAGGGACUCCUAUUAAAUAAUUAAAAUUGAUCAGAAGCUCA